UACGUAGGCAGCGAGCGUUGUUCGGAGUUACUGGGCGUAAAGAGUGCGUAGGCGGUCUUCUAAGUUUGGUGUGAAAUCUCCCGGCUUAACUGGGAGGGUGCGCCGAAAACUGGAAGGCUUGAGUAUGGGAGAGGUAAGCGGAAUUCCUGGUGUAGCGGUGAAAUGCGUAGAUAUCAGGAGGAACACCUGCGGUGUAGACGGCUUACUGGACCAUAACUGACGCUGAGGCACGAAAGCGUGGGUAGCAAACAGG
RNAcentral lists this ribosomal RNA (253 nucleotides) under uncultured bacterium. RNAcentral's name for it is "partial 16S ribosomal RNA". It matches the Rfam family "Bacterial small subunit ribosomal RNA", at positions 524 to 776 of the family's 1533-position model. The record is from RNAcentral.